GCCUGCAACUCGGCUGCAUGAAGCUGGAAUCGCUAGUAAUCGCGGAUCAGAAUGCCGCGGUGAAUACGUUCCCGGGUCUUGUACACACCGCCCGUCACACCAUGGGAGUUGGGAAUGCCCGAAGUCAGUGGCCCAACCGUAAGGGGGGAGCUGUCGAAGGCAGAUCCGAUGACUGGGGUGAAGUCGUAACAAGGUAUC
Molecule: ribosomal RNA, 198 nt
Filed under: uncultured bacterium
Lineage: Bacteria
Description: partial 16S ribosomal RNA
Rfam family: Bacterial small subunit ribosomal RNA
Source: RNAcentral